UUUUCCUCAAUAUAGCUAACCUUCAAUUUGUAUAAUUGAAAAACAUCAGAACGGCCACGUCGUCGUCUCUCAUCCUCCUCAAAAACUCUCUCAAGAGAGACAACUUUCUCAAUAAUACAUGAUUUUGAUUUAUUUUUAAUCAUCUUUUUCCAGAAAAACAGCUGAGAGAACCCAAUUUAGUCACCAUUGAAGAUGCUCUUACAUUGUUUAGAAAAACAGGGAGAUAAACAAUUUAUCUUUUCUGAAA
Molecule: small RNA, 247 nt
Filed under: Arabidopsis thaliana (thale cress)
Lineage: Eukaryota; Viridiplantae; Streptophyta; Magnoliopsida; Brassicales; Brassicaceae
Description: ATSL149370
Source: RNAcentral